AUGGACAACGAUCUAACAUGCACAAGAAAAAGACACAUGGGUUCCUAUGAAUCCUACCAAGGAAAAGUCUUUAAGAAAACCAGAGCAAAUGUUCUGUUUACAGACCUUCCUGAGGAUAUGCUAUGUAUGGUUCUAUCAAAGUUGCCACUAAAGGAUGCUGUAAGGAGUGGCAUUCUAUCAAGUAAAUGGAAAGAUAGGUGGAUGUUAUGCCCCAAACUAAGAUUUGAUGUUCUCACAGUGUCCAAGAAUGUGUUUUACGAACAACAAUACACUCAGAAAUUCAUUAAGACUGUGAAUGCAGUCAUGCAACAACAUCAGGGCAUGGUUGUUGAAGAGCUCAUGAUCAAAUUUGAGUUUGACUGCAGGAUACUAGAUCAUAUCAAUUCGUGGGUUGCUUUUGCUGUAUCAUCGCAGACGAAGAGCCUUGCCCUUGAUAUAGCACCAACCGAUUACUUCGGUCGUACUGAUCAGUACAGAUUUCCGCUCGAGCUUUUAGACAACGGAAGCAUAUUUCAGCUUCGUCAUCUAAAACUUAGCUUUGCAUCAUUUGAACUGCCCCCUCAAUUCAGCGGUUUUCCAAAUCUGAGAAUGACUUGUACUUGUUACGUGUCAGCCGGAAGGAUCUUCAAGAUAUGCUGUCAAAUUGCAUUAAUCUUGAGUGGUUCAGUAUGUUUAGAUGCCACCUGA
Molecule: ribosomal RNA, 687 nt
Filed under: Triticum aestivum (bread wheat)
Lineage: Eukaryota; Viridiplantae; Streptophyta; Magnoliopsida; Poales; Poaceae
Description: partial small subunit ribosomal RNA
Source: RNAcentral